Phyllostomus hastatus (greater spear-nosed bat) is the source of this 3206-nucleotide long non-coding RNA. RefSeq lists it as uncharacterized. The transcript is spliced from 3 exons. The record is from RefSeq and is a predicted model, not a curated record. Lineage: Eukaryota; Metazoa; Chordata; Mammalia; Chiroptera; Phyllostomidae.
CCUCAAUGUUGCCGUACUGAGCAAAUAAAAAUACAGGGGGCCAGUUCAAUGUGACUCUCCAACAAACAAUGAAUAAUUUUUUUAGUAUAAGUGUAUCCCUAAUGGGCUGUGGGGUACACUUAAACUUUUAAAAAAGUACUCAUUGUCUGUGGGAGACUCCAAAUGAACUGGGCCUCCUGUAUUUCCUCUGGCAACCCUACCUCUGAAGAGCCCCGUCCAACAUCGGUUUUUGUUUUUGUUUCCAAAUUAUAAGAGAAAGGUUAUUUACAAAGUUACGGAGGUGAUGGAAGCGAGCCAGCUGGGCUGCGGAGGCCGGGGAGGCAAGCUGCAGAGGCAGAAGGAGGGCCCCUGGAGCCCGGGAGAGAGUAAGGCAAAGCAUCAACAUUCUUUACCUCAUAGACCAAGAUGGCUGCUCUGCCUCCUGCCUGCACAUCACUGUCCCAGCCGGCACAGGAGAAAAGAAGGAAGUGGCACGCGUCUCCUGGACUCUGAGGCAAUGCGCAGCUGGCAGUGUGUCCCGGGCGGAUCCCCUGAACCUGUCCCCAAGGCCCCCUUUCCUCCGACUUCCCAGGGAGCUCAGGCAGCCCGGCCCAGCCUCUCCCGUGGCUUCUUCUGUGCGGAGCCCUUCCUUGGGUCACUGCCCCCAGCUUUAGUAAAUGGGUCCUCAUGGUCCCCUGGACUUGUGUUGUGAAACAUGUCCUGCACGAAGUCAAGAACCCACACACGACAGCUGGACUUCGGCUGAGACCGCCCAGAAAGGGGCGUUCUGGAGCCGCUGGGGGCACCUUGCCUCCGCCCGGGGAAAGCCUGCGUGAGAACGGAGGCGGAGUGGAGGGAAGCGGAGCCCGGCGUCGGAGGCGGGAGGAGUUUCUGACGCUGCUCACACACUGCGAUGCCACGAAAGCCCACACACUUCAUGUUGAUGUUUGCCAGCUAGUUGCUCCCUUAGCUGGGGUCCGCCAGAAAGGGGGGCCUGGGGCAAAGGCCUGUUUGCUACUACUUUACAAGGGGGUGUGAUCCCCAAGGGCAGAAAUGAGAGAUGGGGGAGGAGGGGGAGGAGCCACUAUCAACACGAGGAAGCUCCAUCUGGCAGGGCCCUCCUCACAAAAGCCACCCUGAGUUCAUCUCGGGACAGUCCGAGGGGGGAAGAAGGGUGAGAAGUGAUCACUUGCCACACCUCCCAGUGCUUAAAGUUUUGCCUAAGGGGGAUAAACUCCCCAAGUUGUCCAUGUGGCUUAUGGAGACCUUGGGAACACUAGAACUUACAGUAUUCGGAGAAGACGGCCAGAGUGAAACAAGUAACUACCCAGCGGUGACUCUUUUGAAGAAGCAGAGCGGGGUGUUAUGGAAGGCGGUCAGGAAAGGCCAUCCAAAAAGGGGGUGAAUGCAAACGUAGACCUGAAGGAGCAGCAGUUAGCCGGGCUGAGGGGGUGCCGGUGGGGAAGAGCCCCCGGGAAGAGAAGACAGUAGACAGGAGUGUGUUUGGGGAACUACAAGAAGACCAGCAUCCUGCAGCAUUUAGAGAAAGGCAGAUCGGUAAGCAUUUAUGGAGCGCCAAGUAUAUACAAGGACACAGACCCAAUUGCAUUGGUUGCCCCGCCCCUUCCCCCCUUUCUCAGGGAGCUGGGCCUUCUUCCUUCCAGCCAGCACUUUGCAGUUACCAUAGGAACAACCUCCAUCUACCGUUGGAGCGCAACUCUCUGGCCACAGUUGAUUGGACUAGAGGUGAACACCUCAGCAAGGCUGGACCAAUCAGAGUCCUGAUCCCUGGAGACCGGGCAGAUGGGGACCAAGAGCGUGAUAAAGCUUUCAGCACAGGGCCGGACAACUUGCACGUCCAUUAGAAGAUGCUGACAGCCAGGGUUUUACGCUAGAGGACCAGGGAGCAGUGGAAGACACUCUGCAGACAGGAGGUGUUGAUGGGACAAAUGCAAGAGCUGCAGACCUGUGAGAGAAUUUGAUUUCUGUUCCUCCAAGACGUAGCUGCACCCCUGCCCUGGGGCUCCUCGAAACAAAGCCCCCUUUUUGCUUAAAUAGCAUCUAGUGGGUUUUUAUCUUUCUCAAGGAAACAAGCCCUGGCCAAUACCUUGUUAAGUGCUAGGGUAUUAUAGAUGCUUAAAAUGUGGCAGGGUCUCUUCCCCGAAGAAAGUCAUAAACCAGCGGGAGAGGCAGACACACACACUAAACAUUAACCACAGGGUGUAAGUGCUAUAAUAAACGUUUGUUCAAGACAGGGAGGUUGUGCACAGAGAAAUUACGAUAACAGAUGUAAAAACAUUUUGAAAAGAAAAACAUGGUAUGCACGUCCUCCAAAAUCAUACAGGGGAAAUUGAAUUGCAUAUCUGUUUUCAUUUUAGUCAAGAACACAGCCACUCUACUUGCAGGAUGACACUGUUUUACAAGGCAGGUGCUGGCCUGUUAGGUGGCAACGGGUAAAUUAUCCAGCAUCUCAUGCUUUUGGCUCCUCGUCUGUGUUUGGAGAUCGGGUGAAGAAAUGGCAUUAUCAUCUCCCAGACAACUGGGAGGCACCUGCCCUUGCUGUGCCGGCUGCAUCAGCCUCUCCUUGACUCCAUGAAAUGAAAAGGCUGUGGACUCAGCUAAAAUGCAAUCUCACGAGUGAAUCACCGGUGGAGGCGUUCACUGACGGGCAUGCCUCAGCUGCGCGAACCACGGGUGGUGACAUUAUGUCUGGACAGAAGGUGUGACUGCAUCCACCUAAACAGUCUUCAAACUCACCCAGUCCAAAAAUGGAAGCAGUUUAUGAAAGAGCAACGACACCUCAUUGAGAAAUACCUUCCCUCCACCCUUGUCACUGACAGACAUCUGCUUACUCCUGCUGAACUUCUGAUGGCAGCAGUGACAGCAGGAGCAUAGCUUCAGGGCACCCUGGUGCACGGGAACUGAGCAGCUUUUGGUGUCAAGCUGACCCAGGUUCAAAUCCCAGCUCUACAGACGGCCAGCUGAGGGGUCUUGGGCAAAUUACUUAACCUCUCCGAGGCUCCGUUUCCUCAUCUGUCGAAGGAAGUAAAAGACACUGAUAAAAGACCAGCUGUGGGAGUGGAUGGCUAAAUAACAGAACCUGGUGGAGCUGUGGGGGUUAAAUGAGAGAAGGCCAGUAAGCACAACCUAGCAGGAAGGGGAACUUAAAAAACUGUUUUGUUUCCUUCCACACCUGACCUGUGGACAUGAACAAUUGGGGGGACUGC